CGGGUUCUUGAUUGUACUGAAGAUAGUUUGUUUGGGGUUGGACCCUUAACACUGGUAUUGUGUUCUUGCGGAGUCUAUGCUCUGUUUUAGCUCCAAGAUUUUAGCCUCCCACCCAGAAGAGGGCUCUGGUGCACCUUUGUUUGUGGUUCACAUGAUGAUGCCAAGAGCUAAGGGGUUCACAAGACCAAGCUAAGAGCCACCCAUGUCGCAAAUAUGUCCUUUAUAUGUUAGACGCAUGGGUUCGAACCCCACCUUGCGCCAACUCGUCAGUUUCUUGGCACGGUUGUGUUAACUGUCUGGGCAUUCAACACCACCGUGUGAGCUAUCGACAAAGGCGCCUACCUUGUUCAAGAAUGGGGGACAGAACACAAUGCUGGAUGGGUUGAGGGCCUGACCCCUUACCAGAUUUACAUAUUUAUUUUUGAAAGGUGACAUCUAACAAAAUCAAUGUUUGAAUUUCAUCACUUGGAUCUUCUUCAAUGCUUAUAACCUUUGAAUUUUUACAUCUAUUAAUGUCCUUAGCUACGUUAAUAUUUUGAAGGUAAUCAUGAAAGGUUAACAAGAUUUUGCGUUUGUUACUUAUAUGGAAAAUGCCCCGAGAAUAUAUCUCCAUGGUUGACGCUAGUGCUUCAAUUUCUUGUG
Molecule: long non-coding RNA, 642 nt
Filed under: Gossypium raimondii (Peruvian cotton)
Lineage: Eukaryota; Viridiplantae; Streptophyta; Magnoliopsida; Malvales; Malvaceae
Description: long non-coding RNA (GRAI_LNC010166)
Source: RNAcentral